AAUAUUGGACAAUGGGCGAAAGCCUGAUCCAGCCAUCCCGCGUGUGUGAAGAAGGNCUNNGGAUUNUNAAGCCCUUUAAGUUGNNNNNAAGGGGUUGAAGCUAAUACCUUCAAACUUUGACGUUACCAACAGCAUAAGCACCGUCUAACUCUGCGCCAGCAGCCUCGGUAACACAGAGGGUGCAAGCGUAAAUCGGAAUUACGGGGCGUGAAGCGCAGGUAGUUUGGUCAGUAAGUUGGAAGUGAAAUCCCCGGGCUUAACCUGGGAACUGCUUUCAUAACUGCUGAGCUAGAGUACGGUAGAGGUUAGUGGAAUUUCCUGUGUAGCGGUGAAAUGCGUAGAUAUAGGAAGGAACACCAGUGGCGAAGGCGACUACCUGGACUGAUACUGACACUGAAGUGCGAAAGCGUGGGGAGCAAACA
This 422-nucleotide ribosomal RNA is filed under the name uncultured bacterium. RNAcentral describes it as "partial 16S ribosomal RNA". It matches the Rfam family "Bacterial small subunit ribosomal RNA", at positions 360 to 774 of the family's 1533-position model. The record is from RNAcentral.